Pongo pygmaeus (Bornean orangutan) is the source of this 3061-nucleotide long non-coding RNA. RefSeq lists it as uncharacterized. The transcript has 2 exons. The record is from RefSeq and is a predicted model, not a curated record. Lineage: Eukaryota; Metazoa; Chordata; Mammalia; Primates; Hominidae.
UUCAGCAAUAUUUAAACCGCCUUCCACUCAACUGCACUAUGGUAAUUUUAUGUUUUAUCAUAUUCAGUUCUACUGAGGAAUUUUUAGUGUGUACAUUCAUUCUAAAAUAAUUUAUAUGACAUUAUUAAAAUUAAGCAUAGGUAAACUUUGGUUCAGAUACAAUGACGAUUAAAUACUAUUACAGUUUCAAAUUUGUUCUCUAUUAACCUCCUUUAAUCUUGUAACAGAAAAACUAGAAUUUAUAUACAAGUUGACAUUUGAACUUUAAAACACAGAAGAGUAGUGCAUAUUUCAAGAGAUAUAUUCUCUGCUUUAUUAUCAAAUGAUCUAAAAUCGCUACUACCUUUAAAAAGCCCAUGAAUUAAAUUUUACCCAAAAUUUGUCAAACACAGAAAUACACUCUCAUCUACAUUUCUUGUUUAGUUUCUAUUUGAUUUAGGGCUUCCAUUAAACAUUUAUUACUAGGAAAAGAAGAAAACCUGCCAGUCUGGGAAAAAUCAAAAAGUAUUAUAGGGCAAAUGGAUGUUCCCUUAUACAUAUGCCAUGGAAUAAAAUCACUUAAAUCCUUUUUUCUACUUAAUUAUAAUACUCUAAAAGGUUCCCAAGUUUCCUAAUUAAAACUGUCAAAAAAAAACCAAAACACUUCUGUCAUUUGAUGUAGCUGUUGAGUGCAUACCAAGUUCAUUGUGAAAAAGUUCACAUCUAGCAGUUUAGUUCUAUAGUUGUUGGUUAAGAGAAUGUGGGUAUAGCAGUUUCCACUGAGUUAAUACAGUUGGAUCUUAAAUUUCUAAUGUUAAAAGUCAAUGUUUUACAGAUAAUCAGGGGCAACAAGGAAAUUACAUAUACUUAUAUUCUAAUAUAAGGAUUUGAUUUGAAUAGAUACAAAAAUAAUCAAGAUGUCCACAGUAUAAAAUGAAGUAUGAGCUAUAAAAAGCUCUGAUCUUGAAAUUUAAGAGAUGUGGGUUCUAAUUCCAUCUUUUGCAUUACUUGCAAUGUUGAACACAUCACUUCACCUUUUUAUACCCUUGUUUAUUAGUGAAGAAACUUUGUUUAUUAUGAAUAGGUAAAAAUAUGAGCUCGCACAGCCCCUUCCAAUAUUAAAUGGUAUUUAUUCUGUCACUGUUUCCUAAGGGUUCCGCAAUUAAUCAUCAAUAAAUCAUGAGAUUUGUGCUGAAUUUGAAUGAUACGGUUAUUUUAGCAUGAACUCUCAUUCACCAGCUCACACAUUAGAAUAACAGCAUCACAAAAGGAGGAAGAGAGUAUUAAAUAGAAUUAUGAAGCUUAGAGUUUCAAUUCUCUUAUCAAUGCUGUAACUUUUGAAAUUCUUAUCAUUGAAAAUACAAAAUUAGAAAAGAAAUAGUGGUCACUAACAAGUUGUUUUAAUAAUUUUUGCUAUAUGGGAGAUAAUAUUAAGCCAGUCUAUAUCUUUUAGAAAAGAAUAUGAAGAAGAAGGUUUUAAAAUAACAAAAUAAGGCAAAAUACAAUACCUAACAGAUUAAACAUGAGACUUUUCACAAUGUUUUCAGAUAUAUUUGGGGUCAAUCUGUUCCAGUGCCCAGGAAUUCCUAUCAUAUUUAAUGAUCAUGAAACUGCCAAUUAAAUAAAAACGUAUUUUUAGAAAACAAUAAUUCUUUUAAAAAUUCUUGUUGUCACUCACCUGUAACUUCCAAUAAUAUUACUUUUAAUCAUCAGGGAUUUUGUCUAGUUUAAUACAUUUAAAGGCUGAAGAACAAUAGUAUCUCAACAAAUAUUGCAUAAUUGAAAGUAAGUUCUUGCAUGUAACUGAAAUGGGAGAACCUAGGUGAAUUAAAACAGUUGUUCUAAAUUCUUGAAUAUUGCCUUUAUAUUUCGUUUAAUUUCAGAAAAAAUCCUUAAUACUUCUAAGUAUAACAUUAAUUAUUUAAGAAAAUAAAGAUAAAACUUUAUAUACUUAAACGUAAAUUUCUCACAAAAUCAACAUCCCAUUUCUCUACUAUUUAUAUGAUAAAUACAAACUCCUGCAACUAAUGAAAUAUUUGUAAAACUACAUUAAUAGACCUGGUUGCAACUCCAGAUACUUUAUUACUAUCAUUAUAAUAUCUCUCGAUGAGAACAUCUCAGUAUUUUUAGCCUCAUGAUGAAUGCUUCUGCCAAUAUUAUAACUCACAAAAGGAAGAGAAUUUCAAUCAAUUUUUUAUCACCUAUAUAAUCAGCAACAUUUCUCUUCCUAAACAUAUGCUACAUUUACUACUGGAUAGUAAUGGAAGAUGAGAUGUUCUCCUUUCUAAGUUGUUAGCAGCUAUAAGAAUGGUAUGAAGAACAUCUCUACUCCCUUCAUAAAAUGUUUAAAUAUAUAAUUAUACUUUUCCAGUCAAUGGUUAUGAAAGAGAAUUUUUGAUCAUUCAGAUAAAUGAAAUAUUCCUUGCCUAAAAUGCAAUUGCUUAUUUGGAUACUGUUCAGUUUAGUCACUUUACCUUUAAUUGGCUCCAUAUUUUCUAGUAAAGAUACUAACUAUUACAAUAUUUUUCAUAGCAAACUCAUAAAAUGUAUUGGCUUCUUGCUUUUUAUCUAGAUCUCCGCUCUAUGCAAAUUGAGUGUGAGAAAUAUUUGGAAACAUGACUGGCGUAAGAGGAAAUAGAAUUACUCUGUGGCCUUUCUGGAAAGUUCCCAGUUCCCUGCACUGGAGAAAAGAGAAACUACCAUACUUUGAACAGCUUUGUAACACUUAUGAGCUUAUGUUUGAAGAGGGUAUAAUGUCAAAAAUAUAAUAUGCACUACUCUGGGAUAUAAAACUAAAGACCUGUGUUUUAAUGUAUGGGGAUUAAUAGACAUAAAAUUAUCUACAAUUAGCUGAUGCAAAUAUUUAUAAUAGGUAAAACAUAACUGAAGUUAUACAGUGUUGUGUCAAGUUCUUGGGAUUCAAUUCAAUACUUCAAAAUAAUUUUGAUGAAAGAAAUCCAUUGUAAAACCAAUUUUCUAAAAAAGCAAAUAUAUGUUUCCCUUUAAAAAUUGCUUUUAUAGCCACUGUAUUAAAACAUUAUAUUUUGUGUCAUUCAAUUUAAAUAAAAUAAUUAACUAAAAA